This is a non-coding RNA of Paramuricea clavata, 248 nucleotides long. Lineage: Eukaryota; Metazoa; Cnidaria; Anthozoa; Malacalcyonacea; Plexauridae. The record is from the annotation of a GenBank genome assembly.
UCCUCCCAAACCUCCACCCCCUAAACAAGUACCCACCCACCCUCACGCAAAACUAACCCCCCUCCCGCCCACAAUCUAUAUUGUCCCCCCAUCAUUUGGUCCUGGAGAAAUUAGCUUAUCAUCUGCUUAAAUGCAAUUUCGCCAUUGUUUUAAAUGACGUAAUUGACUCAGCCGCCUUGACAUCUUGCGGCAGACUAUUCCAUAGAAUUGCUCCACUGUAUCCAAAUGUUUUCUUUAGAAAUUCCGUU